RNAcentral lists this ribosomal RNA (253 nucleotides) under uncultured bacterium. RNAcentral's name for it is "partial 16S ribosomal RNA". It matches the Rfam family "Bacterial small subunit ribosomal RNA", at positions 524 to 776 of the family's 1533-position model. The record is from RNAcentral.
UACGUAGGGUGCGAGCGUUGUCCGGAUUUAUUGGGCGUAAAGGGCUCGUAGGCGGCGUGUCGCGUCGGGAGUGAAAGCCCGUUGCUUAACGGCGGGUUGGCUUUCGGUACGGGCAUGCUGGAGUGCGGCAGGGGAGACUGGAAUUCCUGGUGUAGCGGUGGAAUGCGCAGAUAUCAGGAGGAACACCGGUGGCGAAGGCGGGUCUCUGGGCCGUACCUGACGCUGAGGCGCGAAAGCCAGGGGAGCGAACGGA